This 482-nucleotide ribosomal RNA is filed under the name uncultured bacterium. RNAcentral's name for it is "partial 16S ribosomal RNA". It matches the Rfam family "Bacterial small subunit ribosomal RNA", at positions 30 to 507 of the family's 1533-position model. The record is from RNAcentral.
AUUGAACGCUGGCGGCAUGCCUUACACAUGCAAGUCGAACGGUAACGGGCCUUCGGGUGCCGACGAGUGGCGAACGGGUGAGUAAUACAUCGGAACGUGCCCGAUCGUGGGGGAUAACGAGGCGAAAGCUUUGCUAAUACCGCAUACGAUCUACGGAUGAAAGCAGGGGACCGCAAGGCCUUGCGCGGACGGAGCGGCCGAUGGCAGAUUAGGUAGUUGGUGGGAUAAAAGCUUACCAAGCCGACGAUCUGUAGCUGGUCUGAGAGGAUGAUCAGCCACACUGGGACUGAGACACGGCCCAGACUCCUACGGGAGGCAGCAGUGGGAAAUUUUGGACAAUGGGCGCAAGCCUGAUCCAGCCAUGCCGCGUGCAGGAUGAAGGCCUUCGGGUUGUAAACUGCUUUUGUACGGAACGAAAAGCCUUCUUUUAAUACAGGAGGGUCAUGACGGUACCGUAAGAAUAAGCACCGGCUAACUACGUG